UCCCGCCGAGCGUCGGCUCGGUUUUUUCCCUUUUAGCCUGCAGGCACCGAAUUCUGCGGGGCACCAGAAGGCUAAAAGGAAAAAAACCGAGCCAACGCUCGGUGGGA
Podarcis lilfordi (Lilford's wall lizard) is the source of this 107-nucleotide non-coding RNA. NCBI's taxonomy places the organism in Eukaryota, Metazoa, Chordata, Lepidosauria, Squamata, Lacertidae. The record is from the annotation of a GenBank genome assembly.